AUGGACGUUAAAGUUGCCUGCCGGACAAGAGGAGGAGGCUGGUUGUGCACUUGGUGUGCCGCUGCUGAUGAGAGCCGAAAGGAGCAGGAGGGGUUGGAGAGGGUGAGAGAGUCGAUCUGGAGGAGGAAGAGAAGAGUGCCGACGACAAGUAUAGAUGGAGCUGCACCGCGUGUGGUGGUACAGGACGAGACCACCGGCCGAAGGAGCGCCCACCAAGUGUUCGAUUCUUUUCCCAAGUGGGAUACUCAAAACUCGAGGGUGCUAUACUGCUAUUUGGUGAAAUUGAUGGCAAGAAACCAACGUCGGUCUGUGAAAGCCCAACAUCUUUGUGCUUCUGCCUUAGAUAAUUUAUACUUAGAAGUACUGAGACUACCACCUUUUGGUGAUCGAUUUAUUAAUCAGAUGGGUACAAUUAUCAGUUUUGUAGCUGUGCCAAAUGAGCAUUUGGGUGUAACAUCUAGCCGUUUUUGA
Molecule: ribosomal RNA, 471 nt
Filed under: Triticum aestivum (bread wheat)
Lineage: Eukaryota; Viridiplantae; Streptophyta; Magnoliopsida; Poales; Poaceae
Description: partial small subunit ribosomal RNA
Source: RNAcentral